Molecule: ribosomal RNA, 443 nt
Filed under: uncultured bacterium
Lineage: Bacteria
Description: partial 16S ribosomal RNA
Rfam family: Bacterial small subunit ribosomal RNA
Source: RNAcentral
CCUACGGGUGGCAGCAGUGGGGAAUAUUGGGCAAUGGCGGCAACUCUGACCCUGCAACGCCGCGUGAAUGAUGAAGGUCCUCGGAUUGUUAAGCUCCUUUAAGGGGGAUGAACACAAUGACGGUACCCCAAUAGCACGCCUCGGCUAACUACGGGCCAGCAGCCGCGGCAAUACGUAGGUGGCAAGCGUUAUCCGGAAUGACUGGGCGUAAAGGGUGCGUAGGUGGUUUAGUAAGUUGGCGGUGUAAUUCCGGGGCUCAACCUCGGCGCUACCGCCAAAACUAUUAGACUUGAGUGCAUGAGGGGUAAGUGGAAUGCGUGGUGUAGCGGUGGAAUGCGUAGAUAUCAGGAGGAACAUCAGGGGCGAAGGCGACUUACUGGACUGUAACUGACACUGAGGCACGAAAGCGUGGGGAGCGAACAGGAUUAGAUACCCUGGUAGUC